AGCCUACCAUUCGCCGCGCGCUCGGGAGGGGGCCUGGGCCGGGGGCGGGGGCGCACCCUCGGCCCCCUGCGCCCCCCCACUUCGGGGACACACCCCCCGGGAGGCGGGGGUGGCUGGUGGCCGCCCAGGGUGGGCCGAGCGGGUGCCCCCGCCGCCGGGUGGGGGCCUCCGGGUCCAAGGCCGGCCCUCUGUCCCCUCCCUGGAGCGGUGGGGCAGCCCCCGCCCUGGCGAACUAGCCCCGCGCAGAGAACUGGGGCCCCCGAGGAGACCACAGGCUUUGCAGUUUUCACUGGGGCCCUGGAUUCCAGCCACUGGAUCUUGUUACCAUCAGGAGCUUAGUCCAUGCAAAUAGGACAAUUUAAAACAUCCUCUGUACCCCAGGACAACAGAGCACCAACAUUCUGCUCCCUUGACCUGGGGAGAGCAGCUCACUGCAGAAGCUGAUGAGGUGUUCCACAGAGGAGAGACAAGGAAACAAUGGGCCUGGGUGGGAAUUGAGCCAUUUACCCACAAGGCCCACAGGAACCAAGUGAUACCAGGACUGGAAGUGAGCACUUCUCCAAGUUACUUCCACUGUGCCAUGGGUGCUGUUUCCCCCCUUUUCUAUGGAGCCUAAAAAACCCACUCCAGUCCGGGCCCUCCCUGGUGGCGCAGCGGG
Condylura cristata (star-nosed mole) is the source of this 658-nucleotide long non-coding RNA. RefSeq lists it as uncharacterized. The record is from RefSeq and is a predicted model, not a curated record. The transcript is spliced from 3 exons. Lineage: Eukaryota; Metazoa; Chordata; Mammalia; Eulipotyphla; Talpidae.